GAUGAACGCUGGCGGCGUGCCUAAUACAUGCAAGUCGAGCGAACGGACGAGAAGCUUGCUUCUCUGAUGUUAGCGGCGGACGGGUGAGUAACACGUGGAUAACCUACCUAUAAGACUGGGAUAACUUCGGGAAACCGGAGCUAAUACCGGAUGAUAUUUUGAACCGCAUGGUUCAAAAGUGAAAGACGGUCUUGCUGUCACUUAUAGAUGGAUCCGCGCUGCAUUAGCUAGUUGGUAAGGUAACGGCUUACCAAGGCAACGAUGCAUAGCCGACCUGAGAGGGUGAUCGGCCACACUGGAACUGAGACACGGUCCAGACUCCUACGGGAGGCAGCAGUAGGGAAUCUUCCGCAAUGGGCAAAAGCCUGACGGAGCAACGCCGCGUGAGUGAUGAAGGUCUUCGGAUCGUAAAACUCUGUUAUUAGGGAAGAACAUAUGUGUAAGUAACUGUGCACAUCUUGACGGUACCUAAUCAGAAAGCCACGGCUAACUACGUG
RNAcentral lists this ribosomal RNA (497 nucleotides) under uncultured bacterium. RNAcentral describes it as "partial 16S ribosomal RNA". It matches the Rfam family "Bacterial small subunit ribosomal RNA", at positions 28 to 507 of the family's 1533-position model. The record is from RNAcentral.